GACGAACCGUGCGAACGUUGUUCGGAAUCACUGGGCUUAAAGGGCGCGUAGGCGGUGCCGUCAGUCCGGGGUGAAAGCCCCCAGCUCAACUGGGGAAGGGCCUCGGAAACUGCGGCACUGGAGGAAGGUAGGGGUCGCGGGAACUUCUGGUGGAGCGGUGAAAUGCGUAGAUAUCGUUUGGAACGCCAAUGGUGAAAACAGGUAACUGGGAGUGCGCUGACGCUGAGACACGAAAGCCAGGGGAGCGAACGGG
This 253-nucleotide ribosomal RNA is filed under the name uncultured bacterium. RNAcentral describes it as "partial 16S ribosomal RNA". It matches the Rfam family "Bacterial small subunit ribosomal RNA", at positions 524 to 776 of the family's 1533-position model. The record is from RNAcentral.